CAUGCACUGUGAGCUGUAAGGUCUUAUAUAGACAGGUGUGUGGCUUUCCUAAUCAAGUCCAAUCAGUUUAAUCAAACACAGCUGGACUCAAAUGAAGGUGUAGAACCAUCUCAAGGAUGAUCAGAAGAAAUGGACAGCACCUGAGUUAAAUAUAUGAGUGUCACAGCAAAGGGUCUGAAUACUUAGGACCAUGUGAUAUUUCAGUUUUUCUUUUUUAAUAAAUCUGCAAAAAUGUCAACAAUUCUGUGUUUUUCUGUCAAUAUGGGGUGCUGUGUGUACAUUAAUGAGGAAAAAAAAAUUAACUUAAAUGAUUUUAGCAAAUGGCUGCAAUAUAACAAAGAGUGAAAAAUUUAAGGGGGUCUGAAUACUUUCCGUACCCACUGUAAGUUGCUGAAAACAAGAAAAAAUAUCUGCCAGUGGAGUAAGAAAAAUAUCUUGUUUUUCCUUUGAAUUAAAUUUUACUGGCAGAUUUUUUUUUUUUUUUUUUUUUUAAGACAAAAAUAUUUAAUUUUGAUACAUUUUUCAAAGUAAUUUUGCUUCUCAAGUUAAUCAAUCUUAACUCUUUCACUCAUAGAGGUCACUAGAGUGGACAACUAUUCAAAAAAAGCCAUUUUCUUGCAUAUGCAUGGGUUUUGAUAUCAUAGUUGCACAUCACCACUACAGGACACUAGUGCAUCAUCUGUACACUGCCACUAAGUGGCAAUCCGUUGUAUGUGGAAUUUGUAUUCUCCAAACAAAAAUGGCCGAUGGCCAGUCAGAAAUGCCAAGUUGCUCCGGAAUAUCCAUCCAUUCCUUCUAUCCUAGGAGACUCUUGCAGCUUCAUGAAUGCAACCAUCCAAAUGAGACACAAAGGCCUCCAAACACAACCAUAGCGACAGACAGAGAUGCCACGCAGAGCUUUAAAAGGAUCGGAAAAUGUGAGAGGGCAGAAGAAAGGAGCAUUCGGUGAUAAGGUGUACCUGUAUUUGUGAGGCAAUAAAGGACAGGUUGACACAAACAAGAGGAAGUGCAGCAGGGGGAGUGAAAGGUAAACAGGAAUCUGUUGUCAUAUGUGAAGCUGAGACAGUGAGUGAUGAACAUAAGAAAACAAACACACUCGCAAGCCUCACAGCCUUCAAGCCACCAGCAUCUGAUAUCAUGCACAAGGUUUACUCAUCUCCUCUCACACUUGUUCAUUUCAUGGGACUGUCGUAUAACUCAAGUGGAUAGACGCCUGUGUGCAGUGGACAGAAGGGUUUUACCUGAAAGACUCCAUUUAGCUCUGGGAGAUUAUGUUUUAAGGCCGCGGGUCACCUUCAUUGAAAGAAAAAGCAACUUGGAUCCCAACUCUCUCCCUCUGCAUGGAAGAAAAACCUGAGUUAUUCUAGCCAGGGGCUUGAGCACCUGCAUGCAGUGACCUCAGGCAGCUCCAGGGUGAGAGGUUUGUUUGACAGCAGCCCUGGCUGGAGUGUCAUCCAUCAAAAGGAUUUCCCCAGGGUAUCAAUGUCAAAAAAACACCACACAAAUCAUGGACAUGAUUCAAAAAGGUUAAUGGUCCUGAAAAAAAUAGUCACACUUGUACUGUUUGUGGUCAAAAAUGAUC
Long non-coding RNA from Ctenopharyngodon idella (grass carp), 1582 nucleotides. RefSeq lists it as uncharacterized. Lineage: Eukaryota; Metazoa; Chordata; Actinopteri; Cypriniformes; Xenocyprididae. The transcript has 5 exons. The record is from RefSeq and is a predicted model, not a curated record.